This 92-nucleotide transfer RNA is filed under the name Kineosporia sp. NBRC 101677. Its description in RNAcentral is "tRNA-Ala". The record is from RNAcentral. Lineage: Bacteria; Bacillati; Actinomycetota; Actinomycetes; Kineosporiales; Kineosporiaceae.
CCUCGAUCGGGGCGGCCGGGUUCUGCACGCCGGCGUUGUUCACCAGGAUGCUCAGCGGGCCGGCCCGCCGUUCGGUCUCGGCGAUCGCGGCC